RNAcentral lists this ribosomal RNA (615 nucleotides) under uncultured bacterium. RNAcentral's name for it is "bacterial SSU rRNA". It matches the Rfam family "Bacterial small subunit ribosomal RNA", at positions 33 to 636 of the family's 1533-position model. The record is from RNAcentral.
ACGCUGGCGGCAGGCCUAACACAUGCAAGUCGAGCGGCAGCGGGAAGUAGCUUGCUACUUUGCCGGCGAGCGGCGGACGGGUGAGUAAUGUCUGGGAAACUGCCUGAUGGAGGGGGAUAACUACUGGAAACGGUAGCUAAUACCGCAUGACGUCGCAAGACCAAAGUGGGGGACCUUCGGGCCUCACGCCAUCGGAUGUGCCCAGAUGGGAUUAGCUAGUAGGUGAGGUAAUGGCUCACCUAGGCGACGAUCCCUAGCUGGUCUGAGAGGAUGACCAGCCACACUGGAACUGAGACACGGUCCAGACUCCUAUGGGAGGCAGCAGUGGGGAAUAUUGCACAAUGGGCGCAAGCCUGAUGCAGCCAUGCCGCGUGUGUGAAGAAGGCCUUAGGGUUGUAAAGCACUUUCAGCGAGGAGGAAGGCGUUGUAGUUAAUAGCUGCAACGAUUGACGUUACUCGCAGAAGAAGCACCUGCUAACUCCGUGCCAGCAGCCGCGGUAAUACGGAAGGGUGCAAGCGUUAAUCGGAAUUACUGGGCGUAAAGCGCACGCAGGCGGUUUGUUAAGUCAGAUGUGAAAUCCCCGAGCCUAACUUGGGAACUGCAUUUGAAACUGG